UACGUAGGGGACAAGCGUUGUCCGGAAUUAUUGGGCGUAAAGGGCGCGUAGGCGGCCUUCUAAGUCGAACGUGAAAUCCCCGGGCUCAACCCGGGAACUGCGUCCGAUACUGGAAGGCUUGAAUCCGGGAGAGGGAUGUGGAAUUCCCGGUGUAGGGGUGAAAUCCGUAGAUAUCGGGAGGAAUACCAGCGGCGAAGGCGGCCUUCUGGACGGUGACUGACGCUGAGACGCGAAAGCGUGGGGAGCAAACAGG
RNAcentral lists this ribosomal RNA (253 nucleotides) under uncultured bacterium. Its description in RNAcentral is "partial 16S ribosomal RNA". It matches the Rfam family "Bacterial small subunit ribosomal RNA", at positions 524 to 776 of the family's 1533-position model. The record is from RNAcentral.